AUGAAGAAGGGCAUAGUAAUCGACGAAAUGCUUCGGGGAGUUGAAAAUAAGCAUAGAUCUGGAGAUUCCCAAAUAGGGCAAACCUUUCGAACUGCUGCUGAAUCCAUGGGCAGUCAAGAGACAACCUGGCGAACUGAAACAUCUUAGUAGCCAGAGGAAAAGAAAGCAAAAUA
Molecule: non-coding RNA, 173 nt
Filed under: Ipomoea nil (Japanese morning glory)
Lineage: Eukaryota; Viridiplantae; Streptophyta; Magnoliopsida; Solanales; Convolvulaceae
Description: Bacterial large subunit ribosomal RNA
Rfam family: Bacterial large subunit ribosomal RNA
Source: Rfam by way of RNAcentral